GCGCCGGUAGCUUAAUUGGCAGAGCAGUACUGAGACGGUACCCCCACGGUCCCGGGUUCAAGUCCCGGCCAACGCU
This is a non-coding RNA of Phthorimaea operculella (potato tuberworm), 76 nucleotides long. NCBI's taxonomy places the organism in Eukaryota, Metazoa, Arthropoda, Insecta, Lepidoptera, Gelechiidae. The record is from the annotation of a GenBank genome assembly.